Molecule: ribosomal RNA, 260 nt
Filed under: uncultured Staphylococcus sp.
Lineage: Bacteria; Bacillati; Bacillota; Bacilli; Caryophanales; Staphylococcaceae
Description: partial 16S ribosomal RNA
Rfam family: Bacterial small subunit ribosomal RNA
Source: RNAcentral
ACGGGUGAGUAACACGUGGAUAACCUACCUAUAAGACUGGGAUAACUUCGGGAAACCGGAGCUAAUACCGGAUAAUAUAUUGAACCGCAUGGUUCAAUAGUGAAAGACGGUUUUGCUGUCACUUAUAGAUGGAUCCGCGCUGCAUUAGCUAGUUGGUAAGGUAACGGCUUACCAAGGCAACGAUGCGUAGCCGACCUGAGAGGGUGAUCGGCCACACUGGAACUGAGACACGGUCCAGACUCCUACGGGAGGCAGCAGUU